GAUGAACGCUAGCUACAGGCUUAACACAUGCAAGUCGAGGGGAAACGACGGGGAAGCUUGCUUCUUCGGUCGUCGACCGGCGCACGGGUGAGUAACGCGUAUCCAACCUGCCUCUGACUAAGGGAUAACCCGUCGAAAGUCGGACUAAUACCUUAUGCAGUCGUCGGAAGUCAUCUGAUGACGACGAAAGAUUUCAUCGGUGAGAGAUGGGGAUGCGUCUGAUUAGCUUGUUGGUGGGGUAACGGCCCACCAAGGCGACGAUCAGUAGGGGUUCUGAGAGGAAGGUCCCCCACAUUGGAACUGAGACACGGUCCAAACUCCUACGGGAGGCAGCAGUGAGGAAUAUUGGUCAAUGGGCGCGAGCCUGAACCAGCCAAGUAGCGUGCAGGAUGACGGGCCCUAUGGGUUGUAAACUGCUUUUAUGCGGGGAUAAAGUGAGGGACGUGUCUUUCAUUGCAGGUACCCGCAUGGAAAAGGGCCCGGCUAUUUCCGUGGCCGCCACCCGCGGUAAUACGGAAGGGCCGGGGGUUUAUCCCGGAUUUAUUGGGGUUUAAAGGGAGCCUUAGGGCCUGGAAUUAAACCUGGUGGGGAAAAGGUAAACCCUUCAACGUUUGAUUUGCACCCCGAUCUGGGUCCCUUUGAGUGUGCACAACGCAGGGGGGAAUUCCUCCUGGUACCGGGGAAAUGCUAAAAAUUAGCCAAAAACCCCCCUAUUCCAAGGGAUUCUUGCGGAAACCCACUAGACCUUAACCCUAAUGGGCGGGUUUCAAACAGGUUUAAACCCGGGGAUCCAAGGGGAAAAUUCCACUUUGGUGCCCCCCGGGUAAACCACUAUUUUUUGAGGGGCCCCCCGCGGGCGUCAUAAAUCCCCAAGUAAGGGAGGUAUUCUCGCGCUCUCAGGCGCCUUUUUUAAAAAAAGU
RNAcentral lists this ribosomal RNA (920 nucleotides) under uncultured Porphyromonas sp. RNAcentral describes it as "partial 16S ribosomal RNA". The stretch from base 4 to 530 matches the Rfam family "Bacterial small subunit ribosomal RNA", at positions 31 to 542 of the family's 1533-position model. Lineage: Bacteria; Pseudomonadati; Bacteroidota; Bacteroidia; Bacteroidales; Porphyromonadaceae. The record is from RNAcentral.